UACAAUAAGACGUAUAAUAACAUUACUCAUUGCACCAAAUGGAGCAAGGCCCCACUUCAAACCAAGAGUUAUUUGAAAAUAAAUGCUUGAUAAUUUGGCAAUGAUAAAGAUGCUUUUAAUAAUGAAAAAUAAAAGAAACAUAGCCUCAAACUAUGUAAUAGAAAAAUGCGGGCAUUCUCUCUAUACAAUUUUGCUAUGUUAGCUGGAACUUAGGAAACCAGGUCACGCUUUGUCCUUGAUGCAUUGUUGGUAAAUUCUCCCCUCCCACUCCUCUGGGUCCAUAGCAUUUUGUCCUUCACAGCCCCUUUAUAGGUUAGAUGCAUUGUAAUUCCUUUAUUUUUUGAAGGACCUGAAUAAACAAUGCCUUGCAAAAUGUUUGUCGUCUCUUCAGUGAUGGAGCCACUCCCUGCCAUCUCUUCUUUUUUUGAAGGGAACUGGACAAACAAUGACCAACACCAUGUUUAUGACAUGUUGGUCUACUGUAAUAGAAGUGUAAACAUGAAAUUAUGAAUCAAUUCUGGGUUGUCGUGUAAGUGGCUGACUGGAGUAGCAAAGCUUUCUCCAGGGCACCACACACAACAUGAAUAUCCUAGAUGUGUUUUCCAAGUUAUAGAAUCCGCAUGAGGUAAUCAUGUGAGUCUACUAUAUAGAAAUUGUAGGCAAAAUUCAGAAACAAAGGUAACAUGUGUAGUGAGAAAUUGGAUAACAAAAGAAAUACUUUCAACCAAGUCCAGAGGAACACAUAGUUUGCCCAGGAACUUUUCACUGAAGUAACAAUGCAAUUAUUCAUAGCAUGUUUGUUCUAGAACCAAACUAUUCUUUAGGAAAUUGUGGAGACAAAAUUAUACGAAAAAGGGAGACACUCCUACUCAACCUCAGGAAAGAACCAUCAAUGAUAUUCAGCGUUUAGCCUUCGUACAGUAAUAACAUGUGCAUAUUCAUCCUAUUUUUCUUCUACCUUACCAAAUAAACUGGCCUCAAUCUUACAAAAAUUAUUUCUUGAUCUAGUCAGCUGCUCAAAUGUGUAAAUUAAAAUUUAAGUUUCCAGCAAUAUAGAAGUCAUCUUAAAAAACAUCAGCAUACUAAAUGACGAUGGAAACAAUAACACACAACCCGCUCACAUGACCAAAAAAUAAGCAAAGUGGGGUAAAGGAACACACAAAUGCAACAUUGAGUAACUCUGGAUGAGAGGACGACCAAUCAGUCAAACAUACAUAGGAUGCACUGAAAUCGGUAAACUAUUAUUAAGCGGAAAGAGUUGUCUAAAUUUCAGAAAAAAUGACAACAGCAUCAACAUGAACAAUUCUAAGAGAAAAAUGAAAACCCAAUACCUCGGACUUUUUUAACUUUUGGCCGUGUGCAUGUUUUUUAUGCAUUCAGCAACACUAAAAGAGAGACAAAUAUGUGAGUGCACAUGCUUUGGUAUUACGAAACUACACUCAUUUCAGUUAUAGACAAUGGUAUUAGGAAACUUCACUCAUUUCGGUUAUACACAAUGCAGACCAUAAGUUGGCGACUAUACUUCCAAAGAAAGAUGAAAUUUAAAAUGUGGAGAACAAAGUAAAGAGGCAGUACACGGUAUUGAAGCAAGAAAACAGGACAUAGUGCUACUAAUUCGGCUUAUAUACAUAGCAAAUGUAGCUUAUGUACAGUAGUGGUGAAUCCAUUAUGAACAAUAAUUUAGAUUUAUGCAUAUAGUAAUGCCAAGUUUUGACAAAAUCUGUAAUUGGUAUGAUUUCCCUCCCAACUGUUAUAGAUGAGCAUACUCCUAUAUAGGACUAUUUUCAAAUUAUCUAAAUUAGACCCACAGUAAUAAAACCUAGGGGCAACCUCAACAACAACAAAAUUAUUAGAAAUAAAGACUGCAAGUUAAACAAGCCAGACGCAUCAAAUUUUAUAUCUAGUUCUGAAAUUUUCAUCAUUCCAUAUUAGUCCAGAACUCCAGAUAGUUAGUUAUUCUAGACAAACUAACUCUGCUAAUGGAUUAAAAAAACACAUAACCUUUUUACAAAUGAGUAUAAGGUUUAGUGGUUUAAACAUUUACUUCCUCAAAUGGUCCAAUACUAAUUGCUCCAAAUGACAAGUGCCAUCUUUUAAUCCCCCUUCCUAGACAAGUGGUAGAUCAUCACACUGGAACUACUAUAGGGCUCAUAGCCUCAUGCUAGAGACAAGCAAAAAUUGUUCCUGGUAAAUUCUCAGCAAACAACUGUGACAUGCCGCCUGAGCACUUCUAAUGAGGGGCUCCAGACCGCUGGCCCCCAAAUUCAUCUCUGAAAUUGAGUUCAGUAGCAUGUCGUCGCUCUCAUGAGCACUCCCGUCCAGGUGCACAAAGAAGGAAAACACGACACUUACAUUAGGAAAUACCUACAGGGUCCACGGUGUGAUUCUCCCUUAACAAUGCGGUAUGGGACCUCCCAAUUUCUUGCACAGGGCUGGGAACCACACAACCAGCUCAACUGGGUCAACAUCAUGAGCGAUGAUGACCAGCUGAGGGUUGCUCUACAGCACAAAACACAAGGAUUAAUCACGGGAAUGAUUAUUGUAGCCACAAAAAGAUGCCAUGAAUAAGAAUUUUCCCCUACCGCAAGCGUUUGCCUGCAACUUUAAACUGAACCAGCAAGUUAUCAUGUCAUUUGUUACAAAGUAAUGCUUAGAAGACUAAUUUCAAAAGGGCAAGAGUCCAAUAUACUUUCAGAAUUUACAAUUUAGAUUAUCUUUUCUAGUACCAAUUCUAAACACAGCAAAACAGUUUAGCUCCUGUUAUUUAAGCUCACAGUAUUUCAACCAAGAAUUGUUCGCAUGUCAUAAUAUUUUUUGUAGUCGUGAUCCCAGUAGUAUUUAGUUGCGCAUUUAGGAUAUCAUAGUUAAAGCUAAACAAGAAUUGUCCUAGCAUAAUUUACCUUUCAGAAGCUUACAGUAGUAAUGUAAAUAGAGAUGGCUGAGACAUAAUUUUGUAGCAGAUCACAUCAGAGAGGCAAUAGAUUACAU
This 2988-nucleotide long non-coding RNA is filed under the name Triticum aestivum (bread wheat). RNAcentral describes it as "long non-coding RNA (TAES_LNC022690)". Lineage: Eukaryota; Viridiplantae; Streptophyta; Magnoliopsida; Poales; Poaceae. The record is from RNAcentral.